This 461-nucleotide ribosomal RNA is filed under the name uncultured Pirellula sp. RNAcentral's name for it is "bacterial SSU rRNA". It matches the Rfam family "Bacterial small subunit ribosomal RNA", at positions 8 to 481 of the family's 1533-position model. Lineage: Bacteria; Pseudomonadati; Planctomycetota; Planctomycetia; Pirellulales; Pirellulaceae. The record is from RNAcentral.
AGAGUUUGAUCCUGGCUCAGAAUGAACGUUGGCGGCGUGGAUUAGGCAUGCAAGUCGCGCGAUAAGUCCCCGCAAGGGGAUGGAAAGCGGCGAAAGGGACAGUAAUGCGUAGAUACCUACCCUCGGGCUCGGGAUAGCUGCGGGAAACUGCAAUUAAUACCGAAUAACGUCUCCGGACCAAAGGUGUGAUUCCGCCUGGGGAUGGGUCUGCGUCCUAUUAGCUAGUUGGUGUGGUAACGGCGCACCAAGGCAAAGAUGGGUAGCAGGUGUGAGAGCACGACCUGCGUCACUGGGACUGAGACACUGCCCAGACACCUACGGGUGGCUGCAGUCGAGGAUCUUCGGCAAUGGGCGCAAGCCUGACCGAGCGACGCCGCGUGCGGGAUGAAGGCCUUCGGGUUGUAAACCGCUGUCAGAGAGGCGGAAAUGUAGGGGGGUUCUCCCCUUUAUUGACCUAAUCU